UGAGUGGUGCCCGACAACAGACGCCUUUGGUU
This 32-nucleotide non-coding RNA is filed under the name Mus musculus (house mouse). Lineage: Eukaryota; Metazoa; Chordata; Mammalia; Rodentia; Muridae. The record is from RNAcentral.